This 278-nucleotide ribosomal RNA is filed under the name uncultured prokaryote. RNAcentral's name for it is "partial 16S ribosomal RNA". It matches the Rfam family "Bacterial small subunit ribosomal RNA", at positions 524 to 800 of the family's 1533-position model. The record is from RNAcentral.
CACGGGGGUUGCGAGCGUUGUCCGGAAUUACUAGGCGUAAAGGGCAGGCAGGCGGAUCCAUAAGUUUAUCGUUUAAGGCGUCGGCUUAACCGGCGUAGGGCGGUAGAUACUGUGGAUCUGGAAUGCGGUUGGGGAAGACAGAAUUCCUGGUGUAGCGGUGGAAUGCGCAGAGAUCAGGAGGAAUACCGAAGGCGAAGGCAGUCUUCCAAGCCGUUAUUGACGCUCAACUGCGAAGGUGUGGGUAUCAAACAGGAUUAGAUACCCCCGGUAGUCCCUGA